UCGAUGGCAUAAGUGGUUAGAGCGUCUGCCUCAAAUGCAAGAGGUCGCGGGUUCGAACCCCGGCUAGGUCAU
This is a non-coding RNA of Potamilus streckersoni, 72 nucleotides long. The record is from the annotation of a GenBank genome assembly. NCBI's taxonomy places the organism in Eukaryota, Metazoa, Mollusca, Bivalvia, Unionida, Unionidae.